This 69-nucleotide transfer RNA is filed under the name unidentified. RNAcentral's name for it is "Dawkinsia denisonii tRNA-Phe". It matches the Rfam family "tRNA". Rfam says of the family: Transfer RNA (tRNA) molecules are approximately 80 nucleotides in length. Their secondary structure includes four short double-helical elements and three loops (D, anti-codon, and T loops). The record is from RNAcentral.
GCUAGCGUAGCUUAAUAUAAAGCAUAGCACUGAAGAUGCUAAAAUGGACCCUAAAAAGCCCCGCAUGCA